GACGAACGCUGGCGGCGUGCUUAACACAUGCAAGUCGAACGGAAAGGCCCUGCUUGCAGGGUACUCGAGUGGCGAACGGGUGAGUAACACGUGGGUGAUCUGCCCUGCACUUCGGGAUAAGCCUGGGAAACUGGGUCUAAUACCGGAUAGGAGCCAUUUUUAGUGUGAUGGUUGGAAAGUUUUUUCGGUGUAGGAUGAGCUCGCGGCCUAUCAGCUUGUUGGUGGGGUAAUGGCCUACCAAGGCGGCGACGGGUAGCCGGCCUGAGAGGGUGGACGGCCACAUUGGGACUGAGAUACGGCCCCGACUCCUACGGGAGGCAGCAGUGGGGAAUCUUGCACAAUGGGCGCAAGCCUGAUGCAGCGACGCCGCGUGGGGGAUGACGGCCUUCGGGUUGUAAACUCCUUUCGCUAGGGACGAAGCUUUUUGUGACGGUACCUAGAUAAGAAGCACCGGCUAACUACGUG
RNAcentral lists this ribosomal RNA (465 nucleotides) under uncultured bacterium. RNAcentral describes it as "partial 16S ribosomal RNA". It matches the Rfam family "Bacterial small subunit ribosomal RNA", at positions 28 to 507 of the family's 1533-position model. The record is from RNAcentral.